CAAAGAUCCAGACUCUGUUCCCAAAGGCCCAGACUCUGAAGGUCCAGAUUCUGUUCCCAAAUGUCCAGACUCUGAAGGUCCAGACUCUGUUCCCAAAGGUCCAGACUCUGUUCCCAAAGGCCCAGACUCUGUUCCCAAAGGUCCAGACUCUGUUCCCAAAGGCCCAGACUCUGAAGGUCCAGACUCUGUUCCCAAAUGUCCAGACUCUGUUCCCAAAGGCCCAGACUCUGAAGGUCCAGACUCUGUUCCCAAAGGUCCAGACUCUGUUCCCAAAGGUCCAGACUCUGUUCCCAAAGGCCCAGACUCUGAAGGUCCAGACUC
This is a long non-coding RNA of Labrus mixtus (cuckoo wrasse), 321 nucleotides long. RefSeq lists it as uncharacterized. The record is from RefSeq and is a predicted model, not a curated record. Lineage: Eukaryota; Metazoa; Chordata; Actinopteri; Labriformes; Labridae. The transcript is spliced from 4 exons.